AGUCACGGGAUGGAACUGUGUUCCAGCGCACAGCGGAAUUGCCUGGAGUCUCCCAGGGCUCCCUCUGGGUCUUCUGAGGGGAGAGGCUCCUGUGUGCUCUGGUGUGGCCGGCACAGCCAGGCUGAGAAGCUGCAUCCUGGCCUCGGAGUGUGGCUGUCGAUCAGGAAUCUUCCUCGACCUGGAGCUUCAUGCAGGCCAUGCUGAGCCAGCCCAGGAUGGAGAGCCUGGACACCCCCGCGGCCUACAGCCUGGGCCUCACGCUCCUGGGACUGGGCGUCGUGCUCGUGCUCUCCAGCUUCUUUGCACUGGGGUUCACUGGAACUUUCCUAGGUGAUUACUUCGGGAUCCUCAAGGAGGCGAGAGUGACCGUGUUCCCCUUCAACAUCCUGGACAACCCCAUGUACUGGGGAAGCACAGCCAACUACCUGGGCUGGGCCAUCAUGCACGCCAGCCCCACGGGCCUGCUCCUGACGGUGCUGGUGGCCCUCACCUACAUAGUGGCCCUCCUAUACGAAGAGCCCUUCACCGCUGAGAUCUACCGGCAGAAAGCCUCCGGGUCCCACAAGAGGAGCUGAUUGAGCUGCAACAGCUUUGCUGAAGGCCUGGCCAGCCUCCUGGCCUGCCCCAAGUGGCAGGCCCUGCGCAGGGCGAGAAUGGUGCCUGCUGCUCAGGGCUCGCCCCCGGCGUGGGCUGCUCCAGUGCCUUGGAACCUGCUGCCUUGGGGACCCUGGACGUGCCGACAUAUGGCCAUUGAGCUCCAACCCACACAUUCCCAUUCACCAAUAAAGGCACCCUGACCCCAA
This 803-nucleotide small RNA is filed under the name Pan troglodytes (chimpanzee). RNAcentral describes it as "processed transcript". Lineage: Eukaryota; Metazoa; Chordata; Mammalia; Primates; Hominidae. The record is from RNAcentral.